UACGUAGGGUGCGAGCGUUGUCCGGAAUUAUUGGGCGUAAAGAGCUUGUAGGCGGUCUGUCGCGUCUGCUGUGAAAAUCCGGGGCUCAACCCCGGACUUGCAGUGGGUACGGGCAGACUAGAGUGUGGUAGGGGAGACUGGAAUUCCUGGUGUAGCGGUGAAAUGCGCAGAUAUCAGGAGGAACACCGAUGGCGAAGGCAGGUCUCUGGGCCACUACUGACGCUGAGAAGCGAAAGCAUGGGGAGCGAACAGGAUUAGAUACCCUGGUAGUCCAUGCCGUAAACGUUGGGAACUAGGUGUGGGUCUCAUUCCACGAGAUCCGUGCCGCAGCUAACGCAUUAAGUUCCCCGCCUGGGGAGUACGGCCGCAAGGCUAAA
This 377-nucleotide ribosomal RNA is filed under the name uncultured bacterium. RNAcentral describes it as "bacterial SSU rRNA". It matches the Rfam family "Bacterial small subunit ribosomal RNA", at positions 524 to 898 of the family's 1533-position model. The record is from RNAcentral.